GGAUGUGAGGGCGAUCUGGCUGCGACAUCUGUCACCCCGUUGAUCGCCAGGGUUGAUUCGGCUGAUCUGGCUGGCGAGGCAGGUGUCCCCUUCCUCCCUCACCGCUCCAUGUGCGUCCCUCCCGAAGCGCGCUCGGUGGAAGAGGACGACCUUCUCCGAUAGAGGAGGACCGUUCUUGGGUCAAGGGUAUACGAGUAGCUGCGCUCCAAACAAGCUCUCAAGAAAUCUAAGACCAAAUACAUGAAGCUCCUUGCUUGAACUCUACUUU
RNAcentral lists this small nuclear RNA (268 nucleotides) under Urocitellus parryii (Arctic ground squirrel). RNAcentral describes it as "7SK RNA (ENSUPAG00010013068.1)". It matches the Rfam family "7SK RNA". Rfam says of the family: 7SK was discovered as an abundant small nuclear RNA in the mid-70s but a possible function has only recently been suggested. Two independent studies have found that 7SK RNA binds the CDK9/cyclin T complex (known as elongation factor P-TEFb). P-TEFb activates transcription by phosphorylating the C-terminal domain of RNA polymerase II. Lineage: Eukaryota; Metazoa; Chordata; Mammalia; Rodentia; Sciuridae. The record is from Rfam by way of RNAcentral.